UACGGAGGGUGCGAGCGUUGUCCGGAAUCACUGGGCGUAAAGGGCGCGUAGGUGGCGGGUCAAGCGUGCGGUGAAAGCUCGGGGCUCAACCCCGAGUCGGCCGUGCGAACUAGCCUGCUUGAGCACUGUAGAGGCAGAUGGAAUUCCGGGUGUAGCGGUGGAAUGCGUAGAGAUCGUAAGGAAGACCAGUGGCGAAGGCGAGUUUCUGGACAGUUACUGACGCUGAGGCACGAAGGCCAGGGGAGCAAACGGG
This 253-nucleotide ribosomal RNA is filed under the name uncultured bacterium. RNAcentral describes it as "partial 16S ribosomal RNA". It matches the Rfam family "Bacterial small subunit ribosomal RNA", at positions 524 to 776 of the family's 1533-position model. The record is from RNAcentral.